UACGAACCGUACAAACGUUAUUCGGAAUCACUGGGCUUAAAGGGUGCGUAAGCGGCCAUGUAAGUGAGGUGUGAAAUCCCUCGGCUCAACCGAGGAACUGCGCUUCAUACUGCAUGGCUUGAGGGAGACAGGGGUAAGCGGAACUGAUGGUGGAGCGGUGAAAUGCGUUGAUAUCAUCAGGAACACCGGUGGCGAAAGCGGCUUAUUGGGUCUCUUCUGACGCUGAGGUACGAAAGCUAGGGUAGCGAACGGG
Molecule: ribosomal RNA, 253 nt
Filed under: uncultured bacterium
Lineage: Bacteria
Description: partial 16S ribosomal RNA
Rfam family: Bacterial small subunit ribosomal RNA
Source: RNAcentral